UACGUAGGCAGCGAGCGUUGUUCGGAAUUACUGGGCGUAAAGAGUGUGUAGGCGGUGUUCCCAGUCUGUUGUGAAAUCUCCCGGCUCAACUGGGAGGGUGGUCGCGAGACGGCAGGGCUUGAGGCUCGGUGAGGGGCGUGGAAUUCCGGGUGGAGCGGUGAAAUGCGUAGAGAUCCGGAGGAACACCGACGGCGUAGGCAGCGCCCUAGACGAGACCUGACGCUCAGGCACGAAAGCGCGGGGAGCGAACAGG
This 253-nucleotide ribosomal RNA is filed under the name uncultured bacterium. RNAcentral's name for it is "partial 16S ribosomal RNA". It matches the Rfam family "Bacterial small subunit ribosomal RNA", at positions 524 to 776 of the family's 1533-position model. The record is from RNAcentral.